UGAGUGGCAGACGGGUGAGUAACGCGUGGGAACCUUCCUUGCAGUACGGAAUAACUCCGGGAAACCGGUGCUAAUACCGUAUACGCCCCUCGGGGGAAAGAUUUAUCGCUGCAAGAUGGGCCCGCGUCGGAUUAGCUAGUUGGUGAGGUAAUGGCUCACCAAGGCUACGAUCCGUAGCUGGUCUGAGAGGAUGAUCAGCCACACUGGGACUGAGACACGGCCCAG
This 225-nucleotide ribosomal RNA is filed under the name uncultured bacterium. Its description in RNAcentral is "partial 16S ribosomal RNA". It matches the Rfam family "Bacterial small subunit ribosomal RNA", at positions 92 to 334 of the family's 1533-position model. The record is from RNAcentral.